Molecule: ribosomal RNA, 57 nt
Filed under: Corynebacterium glutamicum
Lineage: Bacteria; Bacillati; Actinomycetota; Actinomycetes; Mycobacteriales; Corynebacteriaceae
Source: RNAcentral
GUAGCAGGGAAACGCCCGGUCCCUUUCCGAACCCGGAAGCUAAGCCUGGUUACGCUG